GGGAAAGAACCCUGUGACGUCGGCGACCCACUCUUCCGCGCUUCAGCUCCAGGCCAGUGCG
This 61-nucleotide non-coding RNA is filed under the name uncultured eukaryote. The record is from RNAcentral.